GCAACUCGACUGCAUGAAGCUGGAAUCGCUAGUAAUCGCGAAUCAGCAUGUCGCGGUGAAUACGUUCCCGGGUCUUGUACACACCGCCCGUCACACCAUGGGAGUCGGAAAUGCCCGAAGCCAGUGACCCAACUGCAAAGAGGGAGCUGUCGAAGGCAGGUCUGAUAACUGGGGUGAAGUCGUAACAAGGUAAC
This 194-nucleotide ribosomal RNA is filed under the name uncultured bacterium. RNAcentral describes it as "partial 16S ribosomal RNA". It matches the Rfam family "Bacterial small subunit ribosomal RNA", at positions 1307 to 1500 of the family's 1533-position model. The record is from RNAcentral.